AAACUGUUUGAACAUGACAUCAUAGUCGAAACUUGUGGUCCUUUGUGAAUGAGCUGCCCAACAUUCUGCCUUGGUAAACCUCCCUGGACACAGAGUAAGUGUUCAUUUAGUGAUGGCUCACACCUGUAAUCCCAGCACUUUGUGGGGCUAAGGUGGGUGCAUCACCUGACAUCAGGAGUUCGAGACCAGCCUGGCCAACAUGGUGAAACCCAUCUCUACUAAAAAUACAAAAAAAAUUAGCUGGGCGUGGUGGUGGGCACCUGUAAUCCCAGCUACUUGGGAGGCUGAAGUAGGAGAAUCACUUGAACCUGAGAGGCAGAGGUUGCAGUGAGCCAAGAUCAAGCCAUUGCACUCCAGCCUGGGCAACAAGAGUGAAACUCCAUCUAAGAAAAAAAAAAAAAAAAAAGAAGAAGAAGAAGAAAAAAGAAAAAACAAUAAUUUUAAACAUCAUCAUAAUGUCUCCAGUGAAGCUGAAACCACCACACGUACUGCAGAUGGAGUUUUGUCACUGCACACUGUACAAUGAUGGGGAGCCCUGGGGCACCUCCAGACAGCAUGAAGGACAGUGCUGGGACUGUCUUUUUCUAUAUCAGACACGUGGGAUCCUGCUGUGCCUUCCUGGAAACCAAGGCCAAGAAUGGAGCAGACCAAGAGGAUGCCAGGAAAAAUCGCAAAGAAGCCCAGAAAGCACAGCUGGAAGCCAAGAACCCUAUUUUUGGUUUGUGUGGGUGGAAGAUGAGGGACAAUAUAUAGUGAACAAUAGGAUUCUUCAUUUGAAAGACAGUGGAGCACAUCAGACCUGUGUAUUUGAGUGAAGUAUGAUAAACUGAACAUCAAAGACUAUGGAAAGGAACAUGACUUAGUUUAUUCCAUUACCAGUGAUCUGCUUGUUUGUUCAUUUGCUUACCCACUUAUUCAUUUAUUCAUUCAUUCCUCCAUCCAUUCUCUUUCACUUAUUCCACAAUCAUGAUUGUAUGCCUACCAUAUCGCUAGAGAGAAGGUAGGAAAAGAUCCAAGGAUGUGAAUACAAUCUUCCUGCUUCAUGGUGAGAGCUAAAGGAAUCUGUAAAGAGCCUGUCUUUUUCAUUUUUCUCUCUCCUACAUAGACCCUGGCAAAUGUUUUAUUUCUUACAAUUUGCCUGAGAUUUACUCAUCCACUACCAGAGCUCUGAAAACACUCUUCAGAACACUAUUUUAAAAUAAUGAUAAUGACAAUAAUAGAUAACAUAUAUUGAGUGUUUUUUGUACAUAAAGCAAUGUAAUAACCAUUUAAAAUGAUUGUAACUAUACUUUAUAAGAGUAUGACGAGACAGGCACUGUUAAUAUGCUCAUUUUUCACACAGCUAAUAUGAGAGAGAGCUGGGAUUUGGAUGCAGGAAGUCUAGCUCCAGCGCCUCCAUUCAUGGCCAUUACAUGAUCUGUCUAAUGAAUGAAAUGUUUGGCCUUAGAGAAAAUUUGAAAUGUGUAGUUUUCUUUGCUGACUUAAAUGAUAUAAGUUUAAAAAUUCGAUAGUGGUUGCCAGUUGAAAAUUCCUGCUCCUUGGGAAACUGUUGAAAGUCUGCUUAGUACUCAUCCCCAUCAUUAAUGGCCAUUUGCAAAGCCAGGCCAAGUUUAGUCUUCUACCAGCACUGAAGAAACACAUUUUACCCAGAAGAAAUGAGGGUGAAAUCCUCUGAUAACUGGAAGAUUCUGGAUGUUCUGGAAAGAAAAGUAAUUUUUUUCAAUCUCUGGAAAUUGCUUUUUUUGUUUUAAGUAGGGGUGGCUCAGCAGAUGCCAACAGGGAAUCUGGGAUCAGCUAAUCUGGAGAAGAUUCUGA
Molecule: long non-coding RNA, 1815 nt
Filed under: Piliocolobus tephrosceles (Ugandan red Colobus)
Lineage: Eukaryota; Metazoa; Chordata; Mammalia; Primates; Cercopithecidae
Description: lncRNA (ENSPTEG00000034430.1)
Source: RNAcentral